RNAcentral lists this ribosomal RNA (492 nucleotides) under uncultured bacterium. Its description in RNAcentral is "partial 16S ribosomal RNA". It matches the Rfam family "Bacterial small subunit ribosomal RNA", at positions 29 to 507 of the family's 1533-position model. The record is from RNAcentral.
AGUGAACGCUGGCGGUAGGCCUAACACAUGCAAGUCGAACGGCAGCACAGUAAGAGCUUGCUCUUACGGGUGGCGAGUGGCGGACGGGUGAGGAAUACAUCGGAAUCUACUUUUUCGUGGGGGAUAACGUAGGGAAACUUACGCUAAUACCGCAUACGACCUACGGGUGAAAGCAGGGGAUCUUCGGACCUUGCGCGAUUGAAUGAGCCGAUGUCGGAUUAGCUAGUUGGCGGGGUAAAGGCCCACCAAGGCGACGAUCCGUAGCUGGUCUGAGAGGAUGAUCAGCCACACUGGAACUGAGACACGGUCCAGACUCCUACGGGAGGCAGCAGUGGGGAAUAUUAGACAAUGGGCGCAAACCUGAUCCAGCCAUACCGCGUGGGUGAAGAAGGCCUUCGGGUUGUAAAGCCCUUUUGUUGGGAAAGAAAAGCAGCAGGUUAAUACCCCGCUGUUCUGACGGUACCCAAAGAAUAAGCACCGGCUAACUUCGUG